AGGGCACCACCAGGAGUGGAGCCUGCGGCUUAAUUUGACUCAACACGGGAAAACUUACCCGGCCCGGACACUAGAAGGAUUGACAGAUUGAGAGCUCUUUCUUGAUUUAGUGGGUGGUGGUGCAUGGCCGUUCUUAGUUGGUGGAGCGAUUUGUCUGGUUAAUUCCGAUAACGAACGAGACUCUAGCCUACUAAAUAGACCGGGGAGUCCUUGUGCCUCCCCGGGACUUCUUAGAGGGACAAACGGCGAGUAAGCCGAACGAGAGAGAGCAAUAACAGGUCUGUGAUGCCCUUAGAUGUCCGGGGCCGCACGCGCGCUACACUGAAGUGAUCAGCGUGCAUGUGUUCCCUCUCCGUGAGGAGAGGGUAACCCAAGGAACCUUCUUCGUGAUAGGGAUUGAGCAUUGUAAUUAUUGCUCAUGAACGAGGAAUUCCUAGUAGGCGCGAGUCAUUAGCUUGCGCUGAUUACGUCUCUUGCCCUUUGUACCCACCGUCCGUCGCUACUACCGAUUGAAUGAUA
RNAcentral lists this ribosomal RNA (519 nucleotides) under uncultured eukaryote. RNAcentral describes it as "SSU rRNA". It matches the Rfam family "Eukaryotic small subunit ribosomal RNA", at positions 1161 to 1698 of the family's 1831-position model. The record is from RNAcentral.